GAGUUUGAUCAUGGCUCAGAACGUACGCUGGCGGCACGCCUAACGCAUGCAAGUCGAACGAAGUAGCAAUACUUAGUGGCAGACGGGUGAGUAACAUGUAGGUAUCUGCCCUUUGGCCUGGAAUAACACGAGGAAACUUGUGCUAAUACCGGAUAAGUCUUUACGGAGAAAGCUUUAUGCACCAUUGGAUGAGCCUGCACUUGAUUAGUUUGUUGGUGGGGUAAUGGCCUACCAAGACUGUGAUCAAUAGCAGAUUUGAGAGGAUGAUCAGCCACAUUGGGACUGAGACACGGCCCAAACUCCUACGGGAGGCAGCAGUGGGGAAUCUUGCACAAUGGAGGAAACUCUGAUGCAGCGAUGCCGCGUGAGUGAAGAAGGCCCUUGGGUUGUAAAGCUCUUUCGUCGGGGAAGAAAAUGACUGUACCCGAAUAAGAAGGUCCGGCUAACUUCGUGCCAGCAGCCGCGGUAAUACGAAGGGACCUAGCGUAGUUCGGAAUUACUGGGCUUAAAGAGUUCGUAGGUGGUUGAAAAAGUUAGUGGUGAAAUCCCAGAGCUUAACUCUGGAACUGCCAUUAAAACUUUUCAGCUAGAGUAUGAUAGAGGAAAGCAGAAUUUCUAGUGUAGAGGUGAAAUUCGUAGAUAUUAGAAAGAAUACCAAUUGCGAAAGGCAGCUUUCUGGAUCAUUACUGACACUGAGGAACGAAAGCAUGGGUAGCGAAGAGGAUUAGAUACCCUCGUAGUCCAUGCCGUAAACGAUGUGUGUUAGACGUUGGAAAUUUAUUUUCAGUGUCGC
RNAcentral lists this ribosomal RNA (793 nucleotides) under uncultured bacterium. Its description in RNAcentral is "bacterial SSU rRNA". It matches the Rfam family "Bacterial small subunit ribosomal RNA", at positions 9 to 849 of the family's 1533-position model. The record is from RNAcentral.